AGGAGCAUGGAAAUUUCAAAGCAGCCAGUGGCGCAUUGCCUUCUCCGAGGGCGUGCCGUUGACUUCUCGAAGAUGCAGCAUCGGCAACCUGGGUAACGUCACCCCCGUUAUCUCUAGCAACGAAUUUGAGAGCACCGUGUAGCAAGACCGGAGAAAUGACAUGAACAAUUAUAAACCUAUGAACGGGCGCACUUGAAUUGCUUUAUUUACAGUGCGGACAACACACUUUACCUGAACAUCGUUGAAGUGAUGUUCCUCCAACGUGCUUAUGAAGCAAGAGCCAUUACAGCUUCCUUCAAGCAUAGGCACUACUCCAUGGAGGGCCAGGCAUAGCGCACAUCCUGCCGGCCAUUUAGAUGGUAGGUACA
Dermacentor albipictus is the source of this 368-nucleotide long non-coding RNA. RefSeq lists it as uncharacterized. The record is from RefSeq and is a predicted model, not a curated record. NCBI's taxonomy places the organism in Eukaryota, Metazoa, Arthropoda, Arachnida, Ixodida, Ixodidae.